Molecule: ribosomal RNA, 274 nt
Filed under: uncultured bacterium
Lineage: Bacteria
Description: partial 16S ribosomal RNA
Rfam family: Bacterial small subunit ribosomal RNA
Source: RNAcentral
AUACGGAGGGUGCAAGCGUUAAUCGGAAUUACUGGGCGUAAAGCGUACGUAGGCGGUUAUUUAAGUCAGAUGUGAAAGCCCCGGGCUUAACUUGGGAACUGCAUUUGAAACUGGGUAACUAGAGUUUAGUAGAGGGGAGUGGAAAUUCAGGUGUAGCGGUGAAAUGCGUAGAGAUCUGAAGGAACACCAGUGGCGAAGGCGACUCCCUGGACUAGAACUGACGCUGAGGUACGAAAGCGUGGGUAGCAAACAGGAUUAGAUACCCUAGUAGUCC